GGAAGUCCGAAAACAAGCGUUCCGGAAACGGCCAUGCCAAGUUGCCGGUUCAUGAGUCCGUCACCAAACGAGGUGGUUUGCAGCUGCUCGCGCUGACAGACAGAGGAGCGGCUCCUGGACGUUUGUCGGUGGCUUCUGCUGCGGUUCUAAACGAGGUUGCUAUAGCUUCAGUUGUCCAGCAGAUGGCACCGCCACGAGUUUUGAAGCUUCCAACUGUGUCCGGCACAAUUGUCACGAAAGCCUGAGUGCUUCACCAGACUUGACUGUCCAGUGGAGACAUGAGCCUGGACCUUGGUGAACUGAUGCAGCCUUUAGUGUCAGCACCAGUCGUGACCAUGAGGUGUGUUCAGCCAAUCAGGAGGAGAGUGGGGGGGCGGAGCUAUCCUGCAGCCAAUCAGCACGGAGCAGUGAUCACACCUGCAGACGAUCAUCUCAUCACCUGCUGGCUCCUGCAGCAGCUUUGUCUGGUAGAAGCUUGCUCCUAAGAAGGUUGAACCGAAGAUGGUUCCUUGCUGCAGCCACCACAGGUGAGUCAGUUGUGAGCAGCAGAAUGACUUGGUUUCCUGCAGACUCAUGUGCUCCUGGAUGCCCUGAGAGCCACUUCCUGCUGUGAUACACAGGAAGUGCAGACACCAGCUGAAGCUGUGACACAGGAAGUGCUGGGACAUGACAGGAAGUGCAGGUUGGUGACUUGGCAGCACAACUUUCUUUGAGACUGCUCUUGUCUCUACAGAUGUCAGCGGAAGCAGCUUCUGUUAGCUUUGAAAGUUCUUUUCUCCUGAGGUGUGUCAGCUGGAGCCACUUCCUGCUGUGACCUGGAAGUGGACUUUGACAGGUGAGAAGGUCUGGUUCUGUCUUUGCAGGUCUGGCUGUUGGAGCUCCACUCUCCACCAAGGUGAGAAGACUUGGCUGGUGUUGCAGAGGCUCAGAAGAGAGCUGUUUCUCUGUAACAGGUGGUUAUUCUGUCUGCAGUGAGCAGCAGCAGGUAAGAACUGGAGACAGCGCUGGUUUUAUCAUGUUUUUAUUGACAGACAUUUGCUCAUUGGACACAAGUGUGAGGAUCUGCAGCUUCAGGUGAGUUUCUUUGCAAGUUGAAUCACAUCUUGUUUUGCAGGUCUUCAAGCCUCUGGAGAAAAAGAAGUUUAUGGUGAGCAUGUUUUUGUUCCCUUUUUCUACUGUAUUAAAAGCUAAGGGGCUCACACCUGAUGAUUGAUUCUGUCUCUUGCAGGACACUUGUCUCCCAUCUGGUCGAUCUGCACAAGACAAGAGUCACAAGCAUGUUUCAACUGUCCUUGGUCAAUAAAACAUGAACACAACUGUGGUUUCUUAAUAAAAUCAUGAGUCAGCAGGUCUCUGUCCUCAUGUGACUCCACGACACAGCAAUGUUCAUGGAGGUGUCACUGCCCUAUUUGCUUCUUCAUCCCGUUUUGCUUC
Molecule: long non-coding RNA, 1434 nt
Organism: Synchiropus splendidus (mandarinfish)
Lineage: Eukaryota; Metazoa; Chordata; Actinopteri; Syngnathiformes; Callionymidae
Exons: 6
Source: RefSeq, a predicted model, not a curated record